RNAcentral lists this ribosomal RNA (373 nucleotides) under uncultured organism. RNAcentral describes it as "bacterial SSU rRNA". It matches the Rfam family "Bacterial small subunit ribosomal RNA", at positions 526 to 896 of the family's 1533-position model. The record is from RNAcentral.
CGUAGGGUGCGAGCGUUGUCCGGAAUUACUGGGCGUAAAGAGCUCGUAGGUGGUUUGUCGCGUUGUUCGUGAAAACCGGGGGCUUAACUCUCGGCGUGCGGGCGAUACGGGCAGACUGGAGUACUGCAGGGGAGACUGGAAUUCCUGGUGUAGCGGUGGAAUGCGCAGAUAUCAGGAGGAACACCGGUGGCGAAGGCGGGUCUCUGGGCAGUAACUGACGCUGAGGAGCGAAAGCGUGGGGAGCGAACAGGAUUAGAUACCCUGGUAGUCCACGCCGUAAACGGUGGGUACUAGGUGUGGGUUUCCUUCCUUGGGAUCCGUGCCGUAGCUAACGCAUUAAGUACCCCGCCUGGGGAGUACGGCCGCAAGGCUA